GUCUACGGCCAUACCACCCUGAACGCGCGCGAUCUCGUCUGAUCUUGGAAGCUAAGCAGGGUCGGGCCCGGUUAGUACUUGGAUGGGAGAAAUAAACCCAGGCUUUUACAAUCA
Molecule: ribosomal RNA, 114 nt
Filed under: Neogale vison (American mink)
Lineage: Eukaryota; Metazoa; Chordata; Mammalia; Carnivora; Mustelidae
Source: RNAcentral